AGUCACUGACAUUAGACUACCCCGUAGUCCCAGCCGUAAACUAUGCGCGUUAGGUGUAUCGGUGACCACGAGUUACCGAGGUGCCGAAGGGAAACCGUGAAACGUGCCGCCUGGGAAGUACGGUCGCAAGGCUGAAACUUAAAGGAAUUGGCGGGGAGCACCACAACGGGUGGAGCCUGCGGUUUAAUUGGACUCAACGCCGGGAAGCUCACCGGAUAAGACAGCGGAAUGAUUGCCGGGCUGAAGACUCUGCAUGACUAGCUG
RNAcentral lists this ribosomal RNA (264 nucleotides) under uncultured archaeon. RNAcentral's name for it is "partial 16S ribosomal RNA". It matches the Rfam family "Archaeal small subunit ribosomal RNA", at positions 718 to 982 of the family's 1478-position model. The record is from RNAcentral.